This 404-nucleotide ribosomal RNA is filed under the name uncultured bacterium. RNAcentral's name for it is "bacterial SSU rRNA". It matches the Rfam family "Bacterial small subunit ribosomal RNA", at positions 355 to 775 of the family's 1533-position model. The record is from RNAcentral.
CAGGGAAUCUUGCGCAAUGGGCGAAAGCCUGACGCAGCAACGCCGCGUGGGGGAUGAAGGCCCUCGGGUUGUAAACCCCUUUCAGUCGGGACGAAAAUGACGGUACCGACAGAAGAAGCCCCGGCCAACUACGUGCCAGCAGCCGCGGUGACACGUAGGGGGCAAGCGUUGUCCGGAUUUAUUGGGCGUAAAGGGCUCGUAGGCGGUUCGACAAGUCGGGUGUGAAACCUCCAGGCUCAACCUGGAGUCGCCGCUCGAAACUGUUGUGACUAGAGUCCGGUAGAGGAGCAUGGAAUUUGUGGUGUAGCGGUGGAAUGCGCAGAUAUCACAAGGAACACCAGUAGCGAAGGCGAUGCUCUGGGCCGGUACUGACGCUGAGGAGCGAAAGCAUGGGGAGCGAACAG